Long non-coding RNA from Ostrea edulis (European flat oyster), 1854 nucleotides. RefSeq lists it as uncharacterized. NCBI's taxonomy places the organism in Eukaryota, Metazoa, Mollusca, Bivalvia, Ostreida, Ostreidae. The transcript is spliced from 2 exons. The record is from RefSeq and is a predicted model, not a curated record.
AUCUGGGUCAAUAGUUCCAUAUUGAAUAGGAAUAUGCGCACGUAGCGCCACCUAUGCUUUCUGCAAUGCUACUAACUGUUCAUGCAAAGUCGCAUACUUCUAUGUACCGGUAUACUAGAAACUUCCAAAGUCAGCAGAAUGAUAUAAAACAAGAAUACCACAUUGUCAUCGCGUGUGUUUCAUUACAUACCAUACUAGAAUGCGAUAAUUCUGUUCUAUUACACCCACCCACCCUGAUGUUUUAUUCUUGGAAUUUUCUCGCUUCUUGCCACAUAGGAUUUUCAUUUCCAAUAUGGCAUGAUAAAACAUUGCAAACAAUACAUAUUUUAUUAAAAAUUGUCUUUUGAAGCAAACAACACAUAUUUUGUUCUAGAAUAUCGUAUAAAUGCUUCUUGACAAUUUCCAGACCUAUGUUUAAACACACUGCAUUAUAUGGUGAAAUUUUUAUAUCUUCCGUGAAUUUUACAAUAAGCUACUGCACUGGAAAUUAUCAAUGGUUCGUAUUGUUCAAUGACAGCAUAAUUCAGAUACUGUCCGUUAUAGCAACGCAUAAUCUAGUCUUAUAUCAUACUUAAAGAGCUUCUCUAUAAAACGAUUUAGUAUUCAGGCUUACAUUCAGUGACUGUGUAAACACAUUCACACAUAUAUAUGUUAUAUGCAUACAUGUACUGCAUUGGAUCCUUUCUCAAAAAUUGGAGUAUUGAAAAACAAAAUUGAAGGAAUACGGACGGCUUCUGUAAAAGACAUUCCAAAUCUCAUGGACGAGCUGACGUUCGGACUUCCAAAUACUACAUUUCAAGCAGCACUAGAAACGUUUUCUGAUUCUUCGUGGGACUUGUCAAUUACAAUCAUCUCAAUAAUCAUCCUUGUUAUCGGAGUGACCGGUAAUACUAUUAUAAUCAUUGUUGUAUCAACAAGGAAGAGACUUCGAACACCGACAUUCACGGCAAUAGCUUGUCUCUCUGUUGCUGAUUUGCUGUUUGUGCUCGCGUUACGUGUUCACGAUUAACGGUAUUCAAAAUGUCAUGGGAUACCAAUUUUGGAAUAUUUACGCAACAGUGACGUUUUAUUUCUUACACAGUGCGAACUUUCAUAUCGUGUUGAUUGCAUAUUUACGUUAUGUAUUUAUUACUAAACCUUUGCAAAGUGUGAAGAUCACCACAAAAAGCGUAUUAAAAAUGUCGGGAGGCGUAUGGUUUGCAGGAAUACUAACUGGAUCUCUAUACUGCCUAAUAAUUUUGUUGGAACUGCAUGAUAAUAUCACUUUCAAGGAUGGUUCUGUUUUGGAAAUAAUAUCCUGUAUAUAUAUCACAUUUGUACCAUUUUUACUCAUCGUGGUUUUGCAUAUUAUGAAAAUUUUCAAACUAAAUACGACGGGACAUUUGUCAUCAGGACAACACUCAUCAAUUUCGAGAAGAAUGUCCCUGAUGAUAUUUAUAAUCAUUGUGAUUUAUCUAUUGAGUACCACUCCAAUGUUAACAGUUAUAAUUUUAUAUUUUAUAUGUAUUUCUAUAGAUUUCAGGCUCGCUGUAUGUCAUAUUUUCUUUUCUUAUUACACUGUAUCCGUUGUGUCAUUAUGUUUGCUUUUGAACAAUGCUGUUAAUCCAUUAAUUUACUUCUUUUUUUCUCCUCCAAGUCUUAAAGUCCUUCGCAGAAUCAAGCAAUGCUGCACAAAAUCUUAAUCUUCAGGAAUCAAGCAAUGCUGCACAAAAUCUUAAUCUUCAGAAAUCAAGCAAUGCUGCACAAAAUGUUAGUCUUCAGGAAUCAAGCAAUGCUGCACAAAGUUUAAAACAAUUAAUAAAUCAAUAGAGGCUAUGUUCAACAAAUAUAUGAAUAACUUGUAUAAAGGUUUUU